This 378-nucleotide ribosomal RNA is filed under the name uncultured bacterium. RNAcentral describes it as "bacterial SSU rRNA". It matches the Rfam family "Bacterial small subunit ribosomal RNA", at positions 335 to 704 of the family's 1533-position model. The record is from RNAcentral.
ACUCCUACGGGAGGCAGCAGUAGGGAAUCUUCCACAAUGGGCGCAAGCCUGAUGGAGCAACACCGCGUGAGUGAAGAAGGGUUUCGGCUCGUAAAGCUCUGUUGUUAAAGAAGAACACGUAUGAGAGUAACUGUUCAUACGUUGACGGUAUUUAACCAGAAAGUCACGGCUAACUACGUGCCAGCAGCCGCGGUAAUACGUAGGUGGCAAGCGUUAUCCGGAUUUAUUGGGCGUAAAGAGAGUGCAGGCGGUUUUCUAAGUCUGAUGUGAAAGCCUUCGGCUUAACCGGAGAAGUGCAUCGGAAACUGGAUAACUUGAGUGCAGAAGAGGGUAGUGGAACUCCAUGUGUAGCGGUGGAAUGCGUAGGAUUAUAGUAGG